CCUUUGUACACACCGCCCGUCGCUACUACCGAUUGAAUGGCUCAGUGAGGCCUUCGGACUGGCCCAGGGAGGUCGGCAACGACCACCCAGGGCCGGAAAGUUGGUCAAACUCGGUCAUUUAGAGGAAGUAAAAGUCGUAACAAGGUCUCCGUAGGUGAACCUGCGGAGGGAUCAUUA
RNAcentral lists this ribosomal RNA (177 nucleotides) under Cercospora cf. apii CPC 24837. RNAcentral's name for it is "partial 18S ribosomal RNA". It matches the Rfam family "Eukaryotic small subunit ribosomal RNA", at positions 1657 to 1831 of the family's 1831-position model. The record is from RNAcentral. Lineage: Eukaryota; Fungi; Ascomycota; Dothideomycetes; Mycosphaerellales; Mycosphaerellaceae.